This 372-nucleotide unclassified non-coding RNA is filed under the name Hevea brasiliensis (rubber tree). The record is from RNAcentral. Lineage: Eukaryota; Viridiplantae; Streptophyta; Magnoliopsida; Malpighiales; Euphorbiaceae.
AAAGAAAAAAAAAAAAAAAAACCUUGAAAGCUCUGAUUUAUGAAGUACCCGUGAUUGCAGAAAACCUUUUCAGUUGAGACCAAACUCCUCAGAGCUCUAAGGCGGCGAAGGUUUUCCGGCGAUGAUCAACCCAGAAAAUCGGAGAACUGGCAAGUGAAUUUGAAUUGAUGAAGUUGCCCACAAAAACCCAGUAGUGGCCUAUCUGUGGGUGGCAAAAUUACGGGUGGCAAAAUUUUGGGUGGUUAGUGUAAUUUUGCGUGGCUUAUCUGCUGUAUGUGAGGAGAAGGAGCUCUUUUAUCAUUAAUUUCACUAUUAUUGCAACUCCACUCCAAUUUUUAUCAUAAAAAUAUCUGAAUUUCACCUCGAGUAAAA